RNAcentral lists this ribosomal RNA (450 nucleotides) under uncultured bacterium. RNAcentral's name for it is "bacterial SSU rRNA". It matches the Rfam family "Bacterial small subunit ribosomal RNA", at positions 354 to 796 of the family's 1533-position model. The record is from RNAcentral.
GUGGGGAAUUUUGGACAAUGGGCGAAAGCCUGAUCCAGCCAUGCCGCGUGCAGGAUGAAGGCCUUCGGGUUGUAAACUGCUUUUGUACGGAACGAAAAGACUCCUUCUAAUAAAGGGGGUCCAUGACGGUACCGUAAGAAUAAGCACCGGCUAACUACGUGCCAGCAGCCGCGGUAAUACGUAGGGUGCAAGCGUUAAUCGGAAUUACUGGGCGUAAAGCGUGCGCAGGCGGUUAUAUAAGACAGAUGUGAAAUCCCCGGGCUCAACCUGGGAACUGCAUUUGUGACUGUAGAGCUAGAGUACGGGAGAGGGGGAUGGAAUUCCGCGUGUAGCAGUGAAAUGCGUAGAUAUGCGGAGGAACACCGAUGGCGAAGGCAAUCCCCUGGACCUGUACUGACGCUCAUGCACGAAAGCGUGGGGAGCAAACAGGAUUAGAAACCCUGGUAGUCC